Molecule: ribosomal RNA, 590 nt
Filed under: Lytocarpia phyteuma
Lineage: Eukaryota; Metazoa; Cnidaria; Hydrozoa; Leptothecata; Aglaopheniidae
Description: partial large subunit ribosomal RNA
Rfam family: Bacterial large subunit ribosomal RNA
Source: RNAcentral
CCAAAAACAUAGCCCUCAAAACAAUUGAAGGUGAAACCUGCCCAAUGAUUUAAUACACUAAAUUUAAAAAUUUAAUAAAAAAAAAUUAAAUGGCUGCAGUAACUAUGACUGUAAAAAUGUAGCAUAAUAAUUCGCCACUUAAUUAGUGGAUAGUAUGAACGGUUUAACGAAAAUUCCACUGUCUUAUAUAAUAAAAAAAAAAUUUAAAUCAUAGUUAAGAUGCUAUGUAAAACUGUAAGACGAAAAGACCCUAUAAAGCUUAACUAUAUUUCUUAAUAAUUUAAUAAAAAAAAACUUAAAAAAAUUAUUUAUUAAGAUUUGGUAGUUUCAUUGGGGCGAUGAUCUCUAAAAAUAAACAGAGAUAAACCUAUAUAAUAAUAAAAUUUACUGUAUAAUUAAUAAAUUUAACAGUUACAAAGUAGGGUAUAAUGACCCAUUAAUUUUAUAAAAAGAAUUAAUGAUCAAUAAAUAAAAGCUACUUUAGGGAUAACAGGAUAAUAAUUUCUUAGAGACCCAAUCGAAGAAAAAGUUUAUCACCUCGAUGUUGAAUUAAGAUAACCUAAUGACGCAGCAGUAAUUAAAGGUAGGUC